GAUGAACGCUAGCGGAGGCUUAACACAUGCAAGUCGAGGGACAGCAUAGGGUAGCAAUACUCUGAUGGCGACCGGCAAACGGGUGAGUAACGCGUAUGUAACCUACCCUGUACAGGGGGAUAACCCGGAGAAAUUCGGACUAAUAUCCCAUAACAAUAUCCGGGGGCAUCUUUGGAUAGUUUAAAGUUCCGGCGGUACGGGAUGGGCAUGCGUAACAUUAGCUAGUUGGUAAGGUAACGGCUUACCAAGGCUUUGAUGUUUAGGGGUCCUGAGAGGGUGGUCCCCCACACUGGUACUGAGACACGGACCAGACUCCUACGGGAGGCAGCAGUGAGGAAUAUUGGUCAAUGGGCGCAAGCCUGAACCAGCCAUCCCGCGUGCAGGAAGACGGCGCUAUGCGUUGUAAACUGCUUUUCCAGGGAGAGAAACUUGCGCACGUGUUGCGCAAUUGACGGUACCCUGGGAAUAAGCAUCGGCUAACUCCGUG
This 487-nucleotide ribosomal RNA is filed under the name uncultured bacterium. Its description in RNAcentral is "bacterial SSU rRNA". It matches the Rfam family "Bacterial small subunit ribosomal RNA", at positions 28 to 507 of the family's 1533-position model. The record is from RNAcentral.